AGUUUAGCGAGGUCUUUUUUUAUUUUCACAGUAGAGAAGAAAAAAAAACUUGGGAUGGAAACAGUUGAACACACUGCCUCUACAAUCCUGGUCGUACAAAUAGUGACUAAGAAUUCAAAGAAAGGACUUUUUCUAUUCCAUACUGGAGUUUUGGUUGUUUACAAACCACAUGGAUAUCCGUGGGUGCAGUUUUUUUCUUUUUUGGUUCAUUUUUGUUUGUCUCAAAUUUGUUCGCUUCUAAAAAAUGAGACGGGUGGGGUUUGCAAGUGCGCUUCUGCCAUAUGGACAUUAAGUGGCGUUGGAUUUUUUUAUUUUUUUUUUUCUUCUCCAUGAGAGAGUGGCAGGCAUCACAACAACAUGGACAAGAUCCUGGAAUUGGACCGAAGUCUGAUCAUGGAUCCUGACACUCGAUCGACCAUGGAGCAGAGGCGGGAAAAUCAAGGAUAAGACUCUGUUUUGUAGAGAAUAGAGUGCAGGGCUGCAUAACCCUGGAGGGAACUGAGGGCGAAAUGAGAACACCUGGUUCGCGCACUUCGUCUUCACCUCAACCCUCACAAGCACUCACACCCUGCCCUCAACAACUCACCUAUGCACUUUUGUUCAUUCAAGCUGUGAGGUACCAUUUUGGGGAUGGGAGCACAAUUACAACAGGAGGAUUGCAACGACUUUGACUUAGUCACUGAAAAGAUAUUCCCAAACCGAAAAAAAAGAGACUUGAGAAGCAUGCCUUCUCCCACCUCCUGUAUAUAUUCAUAUUUUUGUAUUACCUUUCAGAGUAGAGAGAAAAUUUACAAAUGGAUGAAGGAAAAUUCUUGAGACACUGAUUAUAUGGAGUGAAUGUUCUUUAAGAAUACCAAUCUUUUUGAAAAUAGUUUGAGAGACUCGUUGUGAGUUUCCCGUAGUUUGCCAGUAGCCCUGAAAUAACCGGGGAUGGAAGGGAAAACCACAUGGAACAUGGACUGAGGUGCUAGAUGUGCUACAGCAUCUGCGAAAUGACUGAUAUUUACUUAUCCAAGUGGAUGUUGCAGCGCUUGCAAAGCUCCACCAUGAAUGUUUGCCAACAUGUGCAGUAAAGAGGCAGACUUUUACUUUGAAGAACUGUCGACAAGGAUGCUUCCACUUCGUGUCCCAACCUGGUGACUGCCUUGAGAGCUGUAGCAUGACCGCAGAAGGGGAAAUUCUUGGCGUUGGUUCCUGGCUGUGCUUUAUUUGCUGCCCUCUACAAGGAGGAUCUAAUCUACAGCCGUCACGUGAACCAACCAACCCAGAAUAUUUCCUUUUGAACUUAAAUCCUAAGAAACUUUUCUGUCUUGACCUUGGACUCGGCAGGCCAUUGGCAUUAUCAGUUGGACAGUUACCAGAUGAAGUUACAGGUUUAUCAACCAUGGAUUCCAUCUGUGUUGGAAAUGUUAGCCUGGGCAUUGGAUCGGCGCUCUCCUGCGAUAGUAUAAAGAAACACAAAUUGCCCAGGUGUCGUCAUCCACCUCAACCUGAAACUCUUGGGUGGUUCCGUGGAGGUCUUCUUACGGAGCGGUUAGAAGACCUGCCCUCCCACUCAGACGUCUGUGUUGGGUUUUGGUGGAUGUGGCUAAAUUACAUCUCAGCCACUACAAAUCCCUGCAGCUGUGGAACUGGAUGAACUGAUAGAAUUGUACAAAACAGACUGAAAAACAUGACAAAACACAAACACAUGGAUACAUGUCUCAUUGAUUCUUAGAGUCCAAAGGAGUGGCAGACACUACAUGCACACUUAGAGCAAAAGCAUUGUACACACAGUUACAUUGCCUCUCCUCUGGAACUGCGUCUGCUCACGUAAUAGGGCUACAUCAACAUCACAUCACACAUAAAUGCAGACACAAGCAUCAGUUCUCAGCACUAUACAAGCUGAGCUUUGUAAAUAAUGUAAAUGUUUGUGUUUUGAUUUUUCUCAGUAGGAUUUGCUUUAUUUCUCUGUUCAACAUGCCUUAAAUUGUAUAGUUCAGUCCUGAAUGGCUAACUGAAAAUGUUCUAAAGAUAAAUUUAAUUUGGAAACCACCUGGUUUACUGUCCUCUAAAGUUAAAGAAAGACUGUUUCCUACUGGCUAACAGAAGUGUAUAUUCUCUAUUACCUUCAUAUUCUUCAUCUGAUCACCAUUAAAAUAACUAGUUAGCAACAGAAUAGAGCAGCUUGGUGGUCUUUGGUUCAUCAGACUGUGCCGGUGGUUGUUUUAUGUUGCCCUUUUGGUUUACUUCAAAUGAAGAGUGGAUUUGUUUAGAUUUUCUUUGUCGAUCAUUGCUAUAAAUGCAGGCUAAAAUCUGUACUGAGUGGAGCUGAGCUGAUGGGCUGGAUUGCACAGACUUGUGCUGUUUGAUUAAUGUUGGUUGCACUGCUGCAGGCAGAACUGAACCCGAAUGGCAGGUCAUUUUCAAAUUGAGAUACAAGCUCAGGCUUUUCUUUUCUCUCUUUUUUUUUUUUAAACACUCCAGGGACUUGAUGAUUUGGACGGUACAUGGUACUUUUUACAGUUAUGAGAUUAUGGCUUGGACUUGUUAGAGAACGCUUACCUGAUUGUGGGUCUUGACACUAAACCUGGACAUGGGUCAUAUCGGGGCCCCAGUUGGCCUCUGUUCUGUCUGCGACCCUGGUUGUGCUGCUGACUGUCUCAGGAGGCACUGAACAGAGGACUCAGUCUUGUGUCUUGUUAUGUGUGUAUCUAAUUGGAUUUGAGCGAUUGUUUUUAGUCAAUCAAUAGAUUUCUCCUUGUUUGUAUCCUUGAUUGCUUAAAAAAAAAAUGCUGUUUUUAAAUCUAAAUGGCAACUGGUCUUCGUAGUAUACAAUCAGCUUAGAUGUGUAAUACAUUUUGAUUAGCUGAUAUUUUGGUGGAUAGUUAUCUGCCAUAGUUAACUAUGUAAACUGGGGUAGCCAUGGUAGCUGCCAAUAUAGCAUAAUUGUUGAAUUGCUCCUGAACUAAACAAAAAAUAACAAGGUUGGACAUUUUAAAAAGCAGAUACUGUGUGGAGUAGGUGUUGGUCAGUCAUUCAGUCUUAAAACGAUAAACAGUAGUUGUUUGCAGUUUAUUUUACUGAACUUCAAAGGCUUUUAUGAUGUGAUGACCUGUAAUAUUGUGUUGUCAAAAAGCCCUGGAUGUUUGGUUGUUGUUUUGGAAAUCAUCCUGUCAAGGUUUUUCCCCCAACGGUGUCACUGGCCUAAAUAUCUAAGGAAAAAGUAUCCUCCAGUCAGCUCAGCUCCUAUGUCUUUGAAUGUUGUUAAAAUAACAGCAUACAUGUAAUGAAACUGUUUUGGAAAAGAACAACUAAAAGAUAUGUAAAUAGUUUGGCUUUUGUUUGUUUGAAGAACAAAAUAAAUACUAAAUAAAUGGCA
Molecule: long non-coding RNA, 3361 nt
Organism: Solea senegalensis (Senegalese sole)
Lineage: Eukaryota; Metazoa; Chordata; Actinopteri; Pleuronectiformes; Soleidae
Exons: 2
Source: RefSeq, a predicted model, not a curated record